RNAcentral lists this ribosomal RNA (229 nucleotides) under uncultured bacterium. RNAcentral describes it as "partial 16S ribosomal RNA". It matches the Rfam family "Bacterial small subunit ribosomal RNA", at positions 568 to 796 of the family's 1533-position model. The record is from RNAcentral.
UGCGCAGGCGGCCUGAUAAGUCAGGGGUGAAAUAUGACGGCUUAACCGUCAAACGGCCCCUGAAACUGCCAGGCUUGAGUCCGGGAGAGGAUGGUGGAAUUCCUGGUGUAGCGGUGAAAUGCGUAAAUAUCAGGAGGAACACCGGUGGCGAAGGCGGCCAUCUGGCCCGGUACUGACGCUCAGGCACGAAAGCUAGGGGAGCGAACAGGAUUAGAUACCCUGGUAGUCC